CAGUCGCCGCGGGAAUACGAAGGGUGCAAGCGUUACUCGGAAUUACUGGGCGUAAAGCGUGCGUAGGUGGUGGUUUAAGUUCGUUGUGAAAGCCCUGGGCUCAACCUGGGAAUUGCAGUGGAUACUGGGUCACUAGAGUGUGGUAGAGGAUAGUGGAAUUUCCGGUGUAGCAGUGAAAUGCGUAGAUAUGCGGAGGAACACCGAUGGCGAAGGCAGCCCCCUGGGUCAAUACUGACGCUCAUGCACGAAAGCGUGGGGAGCAAACAGGAUUAGAGACCCCUGUAGUCCCUGUCUCUUAUAC
RNAcentral lists this ribosomal RNA (301 nucleotides) under uncultured bacterium. RNAcentral's name for it is "partial 16S ribosomal RNA". It matches the Rfam family "Bacterial small subunit ribosomal RNA", at positions 509 to 807 of the family's 1533-position model. The record is from RNAcentral.